AGCUAGUGUGGCAUAGUGGUUUGAGUGUUAGACUACAACUCUGGAGACCAAGGUUCGAUUCCCAUCUUGGCCA
Non-coding RNA from Phrynosoma platyrhinos (Desert horned lizard), 73 nucleotides. Lineage: Eukaryota; Metazoa; Chordata; Lepidosauria; Squamata; Phrynosomatidae. The record is from the annotation of a GenBank genome assembly.